RNAcentral lists this microRNA precursor (93 nucleotides) under Mus pahari (shrew mouse). Its description in RNAcentral is "miRNA (MGP_PahariEiJ_G0007137.1)". Lineage: Eukaryota; Metazoa; Chordata; Mammalia; Rodentia; Muridae. The record is from RNAcentral.
AGCUGGGAGCUCAUUGUACAGUUUUGAAGUAGUUUGUCAUGCUGGAGGUUCAUUAGGCAGUUAAGUGGCUUGAAGUUCUGACCUCUCCUUUCA